AAUAAAAGAAAAACUAUCAGCACAGCACAAUAUCAAAAAAAUCAACUAACCAGUUCGUCAUCAUCGUUGUCGUCAGUAUGAUUUUAAAAUUGUGCAAAAAUACACAUAAUAUUUUAAUAGUUCCGACGCGUUUAAUCUAUUUCCAAAAGCCCAUAAUACUGUUAAAUAGCGUUAAAUGUUAACAAAAACAAGGAAAAAAUAAAAUUACAAAAAAAGAAAAAGUUAAACAUUAUUAUUUUUAAAGAAAUCAUCAAUAACAGGUAAUAACAGGUAAUAUUUUUGACUAAAAUCAAAUUAAAAGAAAACAUAAAAAAAUAAAUAGAAAUGUGAACUUGAGAAUAAAAACUAAAAAAAAAAAUAAAUCUAAGAAAAUAAUUGAAAAAAAUAACAAAUUAAAGUAGUUUUGUAAGAAAUGAAAAACAAACAGCGCACCUCCUACCAACUUUAAAGAUUAACCAAAACUUAACCUAACAAUAAUAAUUUUUUGUUGUCUUUAAUUUGUCAAAUUUGUUCUCAUAAUGACAGUGCUAAACAAGAGUUUUGGAAUAUUCUUAUAGUUUUGGAAUUAUAUUAGAUAACAAAAUUACUACAGUGAAAAUAAAAAAUAAUUUUCAUAAAAAAAAUUAGUCUUAAUAAAUUAUAAAUAAUUUCAAAGUUAAAUAUUGAAAUUGAAUUAACUACCUACUUGGAUUCUGUUCUUAUCCACUUUAAAUACAUACAUAUGUAUAUGUAAAUGUAAACCAGGACAAUUCGAGUGAUUAUUAAAAAGAGCUAACUAAUACCUAAAGUUGAAAUCAGAACAAGAACGAUUAUCCGCGGCAAAAUGUCAAAAUUCAUAUGGAAUACAUACAUUUAAAUGGGGUAGCCAAGUAUCAAGCAAAAUUAUCGCCUCGAAUUAAACUGCCGGCCAUAAAAAAAGAACCUAAAUACAUACUAUAAUUUUAUCGGUGUGAAAUUUCGUUUUUCUAUGUAAUGUAAAUUCCAAAAAAAAAAUUAUAUCAAAUUUUCAAGAAAUAUUUACAAUACAUGUUUAUUCAAAAUUAAAAAUUUUUAAAAGAAAAUCAUUCAAAAUAAAUGAAAUGCUUCUAACCAUUCACAAUUUAUUAUACCUACGAAAAUGUAUGUGCUAUAUUUACUCAAAAAAUUUUCAUAAUAACUGUAAAAGAAUUUUAUUUAAUAAAUAAAUUAACCUCAACAGAUUUAACAUUUUAAUAUACACACUCUUGUAUACACAUACUUAUAUUGAAAUAUAAUAUAUAUGUAUGUAUGUAAUGUACAAAAAAAAUGUUUUCUAUUGAUAACAUUAUAAAAUUUUACAAAAGCAUAACAGCCAAAACCAUUUCUGCCGAACCAACAAACUGAAAUCAACUAUUCGUUAAUCGCUUAAAAUAUCAACCAGUAAUGCCAUAUGAUAAAAGUAUACAACAGAAAAUAUAAAAUUAAAAAAGAAACAAUAAAAAAAAAACACCAAUAUUAAAAGAAAAACAGAGGGAAAAUUUUACAAAAAAAAAAAAAUAAGCAACAAAAAAAAUUUUUUUUUACACUGAAAUAGCACUCAGUAGUUCAGCAGCAGUACGGCUCUACGACGAUACGAUUUUACGAUAGAUGUGUAUAAUUUUCAACGAAAAUAUAACAACAAAAAAAAAAUACAGCAUGGUACAUAUUAUAAAAUAUACAAUUUUAUAAAAUUCCAACAACAAAAAUAAAAUAUUAUAACAUCAACAGUAUGUAUAUUGUAUAGAAAAUAAAAGCAUGGUAUAUACAAAAUAAAAAAAAAAAGCAAAAACAAAGCAAGACAAAACAGCAGAAACACAAGGGAGACAGAAUAAAAUUCAAGGACAGGAACAUGAAAUAAAUGAUAUCGAUUACGAAAUUAUUACGUGAGUUUCUUUUUUUUUUUUGUUAUAAAUUUAAUAACACUGAUGGAAUAUUAUGAAAAGAAGGAAAUACAAAAAGUAAAUUUAUAAUAUUUUUUUUAAUAAAAUAUAUUGUACCUAUAAUUUUUUAUAUCCAUAUGUACAUAUGUACAUACAUAUGUAUAUUCUCGCAAUAUAUGUAAUACAUAUGUUUUUAUAUUAUUGCGGUAUAUGCAUGAAAAUAUAUUUGUAUAAAUUUAAAGAAAAAAAAAGAUACUAGCCAAAUUUUUCAUUUUUCAACUUGACGAUUAAUAUGAACAAUAACUGCCGAAAUUCUCAAAAUAUUGAAGGAUUGUUGUGCAAAAAAAAAAUUGCCGUGCGAUAUUUUGUUGAUUUUGACAAUAAUUUGAAUAAUUUUAUUUAUUUCCCUCUAAAACUUAAACUAUUAAUAACGAACACAACAAACAAUGACGUUUUGCAAAUUAAUUAUAUCUAUUAAAAAUUCAAACCGGUAGCCAAGUGGUUGCGUAUUGAGAUUCACAACUCAAAGAGCAAGAGUUCAAUUCAAAUUUGAGGUGCAUGUAUUGUUUCACUUUUUUUACAAAGGCCGUUUCCUCUUAUAUCAAAAUCAUACAACAGACAUUAGCCAAGAGAUAUGUAUAAUGCGGCAAGAUGUAUGUGUCGUAAAUUUCGAUAUACGUUUCCAAAACUAUUGAUUAUUAUUUCAGUUUUUCAGAUAAUAAUUGCGAAAAUAGUUUAAUUGCAAAUGAGUGUGAUUUGCAAAAUCAGUUGACAAGCAUGAUACGUAAUCAACAUGAACUUUGACAUACUGACAUACUGGUAAACGGGCAAAAUUUUACGUAAAACAAAAGUGAAUUUACUUAACAUGCUUUUAAAUAUUUCAUUUCUUGACUUAUUGUCGAAAAUGUAAUUUAAAAAGAAUGUUAACAAAAUUUUACCGGUAUUUCAACGUUUUUGACAAUAAAAUUCCAUUUUUAUUAAACAGAAACUAAUAAAAUAAUUUCAACCUAAACUAAUAAAAAUCAAAUUAUUCUUAAAAUAUUUUUUUUAUUCGUGUAGUAGUUUGCAGUUUUUAGACCGCGUAAAGUAAUAAAUUCAAUAAUUUUGUUUUCGUAUCUUUACUGUUCAUCAAAUAAUAUUAAACAUAACGUAUUUUACGUAGUAUGAGAAUUAGGUAAAAUUUUUAAAAUAAAUUUAAGUAAUUAUUAAUAAAAUAAAUUAUAAUAUCGUAUAAAAUACUAGGUAAAGUAAAAUUUUAAAUUGUUUAAUAUUUAAGUAAUUAUUUCAAUAAAUUAAAUUAUUUAAUAAUUUAUGUGUCUUUUAUUUUAAAUUAUUUCAUCUAUGCAAAGUAAUUUAAUUCCAG
Molecule: long non-coding RNA, 3240 nt
Organism: Condylostylus longicornis
Lineage: Eukaryota; Metazoa; Arthropoda; Insecta; Diptera; Dolichopodidae
Exons: 3
Source: RefSeq, a predicted model, not a curated record